Molecule: unclassified non-coding RNA, 336 nt
Filed under: soil metagenome
Description: partial contains 5.8S ribosomal RNA, internal transcribed spacer 2, and large subunit ribosomal RNA
Rfam family: 5.8S ribosomal RNA (bases 3-120)
Source: RNAcentral
GCUGAAGAACGUAGCGAAAUGCGAUAAGUAAUGUGAAUUGCAGAAUUCCGUGAAUCAUCGAAUCUUUGAACGCACAUUGCGCCCCCUGGUAUUCCGGGGGGCAUGCCUGUCCGAGCGUCAUUGCAACCUUCAAGCGCGGCUUGUGUGUUGGGUCUCGUCCCCCGUGGACGGGCCCGAAAGGCAGUGGCGGCGUCCCGACAUGGUGCCCGAGCGUAUGGGAAUCCUCUUCCGCUCGAAUCGGCCCAUGCGGCGCUGGUCGUAACCAAAUUUUUUACCGGUUGACCUCGGAUCAGGUAGGGAUACCCGCUGAACUUAAGCAUAUCAAUAAGCGGAGGA